RNAcentral lists this long non-coding RNA (765 nucleotides) under Physcomitrium patens. Its description in RNAcentral is "long non-coding RNA (PPAT_LNC006704)". The record is from RNAcentral. Lineage: Eukaryota; Viridiplantae; Streptophyta; Bryopsida; Funariales; Funariaceae.
CCGAAAAAGGUGAUUAAUGCAUGUGCUUCUGAAUGUUUAACCUUAAUUUUCAUUAAUCUCAUUUCAACUAGCUGUCAUGUGCCCUGCUUUGAUUUAUUCAAAAUGGUUACUAAAUCUUAGAUGGUGAAGAACCACAUGAGCACAAAUUCUCAUCUGUCAUAUGUUUUGAAGGAAAUGGUCAAUGGCACAAUUAACAAGUGAAUUAAUCAUGUUUAUUUGAUGAUUGGUCUUACUGUUAGUCAUCACUUGAUUUUGGGUUCACCUACUAAACAGGAUUUUGGUAUAAGACCUGGCUUCUGCUAGCUAUCUUGAAGCACGCUCAGUAAACGUCAAAUAUCAGCAAGUAUGCUUGGCAACUGAUGCUCUUGUUAACGAUUAGAAAUUCAACAUGCUUAAACCAGGUGGACAGCGCGGUACCUGUGAAUCCAUGUAUUCUUAACAUACCAAACUUCAGAUUAGGAUUUCAGGUGAGAAUUUGCCUAGAGGCUAGCAUAAGAAUAUCUUGACAUCAUUUGCAGCGUAGUUUACUAUUCUCUAUUGUCAAACAACACUCACCUGGUAAGGGCAUAAUGGAUGCAAUGCAUUAGCAUAAUCCUGGGAUUUACUUUUGCAACUGGUGAUUACUCCGUGUUUGACCAGUAACUUCCAUCGUGCUUUCAAACGGAACCAGACACGGUCCGGCUGAGCUUCAGAGCGGCGCUCAAGCAGUCGAACUCUGUCGUUGUCAUCUUCAUAGAAUACUGUUCUCAGUUUCGUCAACUCUCC